GAUCAUGGCUCAGGACGAACGCUGGCGGCGUGCCUAACACAUGCAAGUCGAGCGGAGACAGUGAGUAGCUUGCUACGAACUGUUUUAGCGGCGGACGGGUGAGUAACGCGUGAGCAACCUUUCCCAGACAGGGGAAUAACACACCGAAGGUGUACUAAUACCGCAUAAGACCACGGUUUCACAUGGAACUGAAGGUAAAAGAUUUAUCGGGUUUGGGGUGGCUCGCGUCCGAUUAGGUAGUUGGUGAGGUAACGG
This 255-nucleotide ribosomal RNA is filed under the name uncultured bacterium. RNAcentral's name for it is "partial 16S ribosomal RNA". It matches the Rfam family "Bacterial small subunit ribosomal RNA", at positions 15 to 263 of the family's 1533-position model. The record is from RNAcentral.